AUUGAACGCUGGCGGCAGGCUUAACACAUGCAAGUCGAACGAGUGGCGGACGGGUGAGUAAUGCUUGGGAAUCUAGCUUAUGGAGGGGGAUAACUACGGGAAACUGUAGCUAAUACCGCGUACCAUAGGAUGAGCCCAAGUGGGAUUAGGUAGUUGGUGCGGUAAAGGCUCACCAAGCCGACGAUCCCUAGCUGGUCUGAGAGGAUGACCAGCCACACUGGGACUGAGACACGGCCCAGACUCCUACGGGAGGCAGCAGUGGGGAAUAUUGGACAAUGGGGGCAACCUGACGCAGCCAUGCCGCGUGGAUGAAGAAGGCCUUCGGGUUGUAAAGUACGUUCGGCAGGGAGGCGUUACCUGCAGAAGAAGCACCGGCUAACUCCGUGCCAGCAGCCGCGGUAAUAC
RNAcentral lists this ribosomal RNA (405 nucleotides) under uncultured bacterium. RNAcentral's name for it is "partial 16S ribosomal RNA". It matches the Rfam family "Bacterial small subunit ribosomal RNA", at positions 30 to 526 of the family's 1533-position model. The record is from RNAcentral.